This is a long non-coding RNA of Cucurbita maxima (winter squash), 400 nucleotides long. RefSeq lists it as uncharacterized. The record is from RefSeq and is a predicted model, not a curated record. The transcript has 2 exons. Lineage: Eukaryota; Viridiplantae; Streptophyta; Magnoliopsida; Cucurbitales; Cucurbitaceae.
UGGAGAUUCCUUUUGGGUCUGAAAGAAAGUUCCAGACAAUUUCCUUUGCCCUUCCCCGUUUUUUUUUCCUCUCUCGUAUUUGGUUCAAUGCCGUAAUAAAAACUACGCGUGAAAACCAAAUCAGGGUUGUAAGUAGGCUGGCGAUCCAAAUCAUCUAGAAAUCGCCGAGUUUAAUUCAUUUUAAUUUCGUUUUCAAGUCCAUGGCUACCGAUUUUCUUUCUUUUUUAAUUUGCAGAUAAUAUAAGUUUUCUUUUUCUUUCUAAAUUCACUUAUUUUUUUAGAUAUUGUUGACGUUGAAGCUUAUCAAGAACAUCACCAUGCAUACUCAUCUCAAUUGUUAUUUUAUGAAAAAGGUCAUUCUGUUUAUCCAAUAAAUUAAUUACCUGUUGUUUUCUUUAUA